Molecule: transfer RNA, 81 nt
Filed under: Strongylocentrotus purpuratus (purple sea urchin)
Lineage: Eukaryota; Metazoa; Echinodermata; Echinoidea; Camarodonta; Strongylocentrotidae
Rfam family: tRNA
About the family: Transfer RNA (tRNA) molecules are approximately 80 nucleotides in length.
Source: Rfam by way of RNAcentral
CCGUCGAUAGCUCAGUUGGUAGAGCGGGAGACUGUAGAGGCUAAUACACUGACGUCGCUGGUUCGAAUCCGGCUCGACGGA